RNAcentral lists this long non-coding RNA (4676 nucleotides) under Ananas comosus (pineapple). RNAcentral describes it as "long non-coding RNA (ACOM_LNC044439)". The record is from RNAcentral. Lineage: Eukaryota; Viridiplantae; Streptophyta; Magnoliopsida; Poales; Bromeliaceae.
CAAUCUCCAACCUGAACAGGGCAACUGGGCAAAACUCCCGAAUGUCCAAAGAAUGACCGGGUACAACAACUCAUCCCGGAUGCAACAAGGAUACAAGUGGGAUGCCAUGCAGCUCAGCAAACAGUCGGUCUAUAAAUGAAUGCGAUGCACCGGUAUCAAAUAAUGCUCUAACUCGAAUACCGUAAAGUAAAAUGAUACCUGCGACCACAUUCUCGGCUGCCGCCGCCUCCUCAGUCUGGGCCGCAUACAUGCGCCCGCUCGGGGCCUGUCGUGACCCCUCCGUCUGCCGCGAAACUGGCGGCCGCCCAGCCUGGUGAUGCGCAGAAGAUGUCCCCUGACUGGGACCGGGCGAUGCUGGUGCGGAUGCCGAAGAUGGCGCUGGCGCUGGGCCCCUCGGACAGUCCGACUGGAAGUGGCCCUCCUGGCCACACAAGAAGCACCUGCCCCUGCUGCGUGAACACUGCCGUGGGUAGUGAGGACGCUCACAGAUCACGCACUGGAGAGCCGGCGACUGAUCGGUGGGUAUGGAUCAAGGACUAAAAAGGUAAGUAAACCUAAAAGGGGUAAUAGAGUGAAAUCCGGCAAACUCGAAAAACUCGAUGCAACAAAAAGAAAGUAGCGGAAUUAAACAGCAACCGAGAAUUUUAACGUGGGAAAACUCAAAUCGGAGGUGAAAACCAGGGACCGAUCACGCAAAAAAACCAUAAGAAAACUGAAGUACAAGUGAUUUCGACGAAAAUACUACGCUCAAUUUACCGUUUCUAUUUGACGAUGAUCUUUGCCGGCUCCUCGAUGAUGAGAAUCCACGCAUCGACCUGCUGCAACUCCAGCAGCGUCACGCUCAACUGCCUCGACAGCGUCACCGAAUCUCGCUUCACGGCAGAUCCACGCGCGACUCUCUUCGGGAGCUUGUAGAAUCGAAUAGUUUGUGGUGAUUUCAAACUUUGAAAACAAUUAAGCUUGGGAGUUCACCUUUUAUCAACAUCUAAGAUUCCGGUAAGAAAUGAUUGGUAACAACGAAUAAUAAGCGAUGUUGAUUGCUCAGAAACGUGUUAUUAAAUAUAAGCAUUGAACCGGAGAGAAAUAAGUUUCUAGGGUUUAGAUUGGUAAAUAUUCAAGAGCCUAACUUUUAGAUACCCAUAGCUACUAUAUGUUUAGAGACUUAGAAUAGCUAGGAUGCUAAAAAGUAAGUUUUUUCAAAAACCUGUGUCGUCCUCAGAGACCGGUCUUCUCGAGGAGACCGGUCUGUGAGAGACCGGUCUCUCAAGUGAGAAAUCGGUCCCUCACUGCGUGAUCAAAAACCCAACGUUCGGGAAUCGGUCUCUCAAAUUUGAGACCGGUCCCUCGCUGCGCGACAGAAACAUCAUAGUUCGGGAACCGGUCUCUCAUCACAGGGGACCGGUUGCAUCAAGGUUCACGCAGUGAGGACCUUAGGGGAACCGGUCUCUCCAUUUCAGGGACUGGUCCCAGAACACAUGAAAGUUCAGAAAAAUUAUUUUAAAAUAAUCUAAGCCUUCUGAACUUAUUCUAAUUAGGUAUCUUCACCACAAAUGAUCUUUUCUUCAUACCUUAGGUGUCGAGCUUUCCGAAUGAGUCUUCGUUCUCCAAUUUUAAUAACUUCUGCGAUCAACUCUUCAAGACUCCAAACAACUUUACGAAAUUCGCCAACCUAUAAAAUCCUUAACAAUCGGGUCCUCCUCGCUGAGUAGAUUGGCCACGUCGUCGCGACUGGCUCCGACUCCUGGGAUGCCUUGGCGGCCUCCGUGAGUGUGUCUGGCUCGCACCCUCAGCCGCGGGCCUCUUUCCCUUGCCCUUGUCUAGGGCCUCGCGUCGCUCCUGAAGGUCUGCCGCUCCAGCCUCCACAAUGAGUGCACGGUCCACAACCUCCCGGUAGGUUUGGAGGUUGGAGGACUGCACCAACCGAAAGAUCGAAGGCCGCAAUCCACGCUAAAAAAUGCGGGCCUUGUCCUCAUCGUCCCUCACAACAAAUGGUACACAGUGAAGUAGCCAGGAGAACUCCCUCUCGUACUAGGCCACUGACCGCUCGUCCUGGCGCAAGCUGCGCAAAUCCUGCUCCAUCUUCCUCUUGGCGCUGGUCGGGAAGUAGUACGCCAGAAGGAGCUCCUUGAACCUCGUCCAAGUAAUCGCUGUCAAGUCGGUGCUGGGGUUGUCCUGGAUAUCCAGCCACCAACGAUAGGCCUCGCCGUCCAGAAAGUGAGUGGCGAGCCAAACCCUGUCCCUCUCCUCAAUGAAGGUAUCUCGAAAUAGCUUCUCCAUAUGCAUCAACCACUUCUCAACAAUCCAGUGGUCGACGUUCUCGCCAUCGAAGAUCCUUGGGCUGCACCUCCUAAGCUCACUGAGGCGAUCCAUGAACCAAUCCCGCUCGGCUCCCUCGGCCAUCACAGGGAAAGCUGCCCUCGCCGCGGGUAUCUGAACCGGUGGUGCUGCGACCACUUCCUCCCGAGGUGCGGUUGCUGGUGCCGCACGGGAAGAACUGGGUGCGGGGGAUUGCGCCCUCGGCGCGACGUCCACUACGGGUGCUCGCGGUGUGGGGACCUGAGUCUCCCUAGAAGCUGCUGCCUGCUGUAGCAAGAGAUCCUCCAGAUGCUUCAUCCGCGCCUCCUGCUGUUGUGCCAUCUCGGCCUGUCGCUGAGCAGCCGCCGCCUGCUGUGCUACAAGGUCAGUGAGGACUGCAAGCUGGGACCUCAAGUCGCGGACCUUGCUGGAUCCGGAAGUCGCGGAGGUUUCGACCUCCUCGAGGGGUGCCGCAUUGUCCGCUCCGGCAGAUUGGGAGCGAGUAAUCGGCAUGUCACUACAGAACAUAGAAGUGCAAGUUAGUAACCCGCACUAUCGAAUCCCCGCUCAAUUAACAAAACCCAAAUCACGCGAAAGUAAAAAAGUGUUAUCCACAACUAACUCCCGAUAUUAUGUUGUCGGCCGCCAAUAGGGAUGCAAACGGGGCGGAUCCGGGGGCGGGAGAGUUUCCCCACCUCCCGCUCCAUUUCUUAUCGAGGUGGGGCGGAUUCGGGGCGGGUUACUUUUCAUUUUAUUUUUGGCUCCCACUUACCGCUCCAUUCGGGGCGGAUCGGGGCGGGAGCCGGAUUUUUGACGGAUCGGGGCGGAUUGAAGUAAGAAAAGAGUCUCCCACCUCCCGCUCCAUUUACUUGGCUGAUCGGGGCGGAUUCGNAUCUUGGAAUAUACACAAGAUCCCUGGAGUUGAUCAAAUAGAUCAUCAAUCCUCGGUAAUGGAUACUUGUUCUUGAUCGUGACCUUGUUAAGUUCACGAUAAUCCACGCACAAACGAAGUGAUCCAUCAUUUUUCUUCACAAACAGAACCGGUGCUCCCCAAGGUGACGCACUCGGUCGCACAAAACCCUUGUCCAGAAGAUCUUGUAACUGUGCCUUCAGCUCCUUCAAUUCUGCUGGUGCCAUCCUAUAGGGUGCCUUUGAGAUUGGAGUAGUCCCGGGAACGAGAUCUACCACAAACUCAAUCUCCCUAUCAGGUGGCAUGCCUGGAAGCUCCGCUGGGAACACAUCUCCAAACUCCCGCACUACGGGAAUGUCCUCAAUCCUAGGGACGUCAUCCUCACCCCGCAACACAACAGUAGCCAAGUAGGCCACACAGCCUCUACUAAUCAACUGCCGAGCUCGAGAAGAGCUAAUCGUCAUCGCAAACAGCGAACUCUGGCAUCCUCGGUACACAACCUCCGCCUACCCCGGCUCUCUAAACGUCACCGUUCGAUUCUUGCAAUCAAUGGUGGUGUAGUACUUGGUCAACCAAUCCAUGCCCAACACAACAUCAAACUCCCCGAGUUUAUGCAAAGCUAGCAAGUCCACGGGCAUCAUCCAAUCUCCAACCUGAACAGGGCAACUGGGCAAAACUCCCGAAUGUCCAAAGAAUGACCGGGUACAACAACUCAUCCCGGAUGCAACAAGGAUACAAGUGGGAUGCCAUGCAGCUCAGCAAACAGUCGGUCUAUAAAUGAAUGCGAUGCACCGGUAUCAAAUAAUGCUCUAACUCGAAUACCGUAAAGUAAAAUGAUACCUGCGACCACAUUCUCGGCUGCCGCCGCCUCCUCAGUCUGGGCCGCAUACAUACGCCGACUCGGGGCCUGUCGUGACCCGUCCCCCUGCCGCUGAACUGGCGGUCGUCCUGCCUGGUGAUGCGUAGAAGAUGUCCCCUGACUGGGACCUGGCGACGCUGGUGCAGAUGCCGAAGAUGGCGCUGGCGCUGAACCUCUCGGGCAGUCCGACUGGAAGUGGCCCUCCUGGCCACACAAGAAGCACCUGCCCCUGCUGCGUGAACACUGCCGUGGGUAGUGAGGACCGCCACAGAUCACGCAGCGGAGAGCCUGGCGACGAUCGGUGUGAGAUAUGGAUCCCAAGGAUCUAAAAGGUAAGUAACACCUAAAGGGGGGUGAAUAGGUGUAAAUCCGGCAAACUCGAAAAACUCGAUGCAAACAAAAGAAAGUAGCGGAAAUUAAAACAGCACACCGAGAAUUUAACGUGGGAAAACUCCAAAUCGGAGUGAAAAACCCAUGGGACCGAUCACGCAAAGAAAAACCACUAAGAAAACUUGAGUACAAGUGAUUUCGACGAAAAUACACGACUCAAUUUACCGAUUUCUUGUUGACGAUGAUCUUUGCCGGUCCUCGAUCGAUAGGAAUCCACCAAUC